CGGGGGUCUAUCGAAAACAACCUCUCUACUUCAUCUGAGGUAGUGGUAUGGACUUUGUACACUUUAUCUUUCCCCGACUCACACUUUUGAUAAUACACUGGGUAUGUUGUAGUUGUUGAUGAUGAUGAUGAAGAGGAAGGAAUUAACCAUCGCGGAAUAUGGCAGGAUACUUGGAAUUGCUUAGUUGUUAAUCAGAGGUUUCAAAUUCGAAUUUUGGGACAAGCAGCUAGUUAAUGUGUGCUCAAUCACUCAUAUAUCGAUCUUCAACCUAAAGCUGCCCGGGCUCGAGCCCACUUGAGAACUGUG
RNAcentral lists this long non-coding RNA (306 nucleotides) under Capsicum annuum. RNAcentral describes it as "long non-coding RNA (CANN_LNC012284)". Lineage: Eukaryota; Viridiplantae; Streptophyta; Magnoliopsida; Solanales; Solanaceae. The record is from RNAcentral.